Rhamnusium bicolor is the source of this 75-nucleotide non-coding RNA. The record is from the annotation of a GenBank genome assembly. NCBI's taxonomy places the organism in Eukaryota, Metazoa, Arthropoda, Insecta, Coleoptera, Cerambycidae.
GGUAUGGUGGCCGAGUGGGUAAAGCGCUUAUAGGCUAUUGACUAAAUAUCGAUGGUUCGAAUCCAUCCCGGAGCA